Molecule: ribosomal RNA, 62 nt
Filed under: uncultured organism
Description: partial 16S ribosomal RNA
Source: RNAcentral
UGGGCUUGACAUGUCCGGGAUUCUGCAGAGAUGCGGGAGUGCCCUUCGGGGAAUCGGAACAC